RNAcentral lists this long non-coding RNA (479 nucleotides) under Rattus norvegicus (Norway rat). RNAcentral describes it as "long non-coding RNA NONRATT027744". The record is from RNAcentral. Lineage: Eukaryota; Metazoa; Chordata; Mammalia; Rodentia; Muridae.
GUGUGCCCCAGGAGAGCCAGGUCAGUCAGAAGGCAGUGGACUCAGCACUUCAGUCUGUACCCAGCUAGGCUCACAUCUCCAGGAAUGUUCUUGAGAACUGAUACUGUCCGGAUGAAACAUUCUGCCCUGCUUGCUGAUGUGACCUUGGGCCAGGCUUGUCUCCCAGAGGGCCUUGGUUUUCUCCUCGGCACAGUGAGCCAGGCCACAGCAGAGAUGCAGAAUCUGAACUCUUCCCACUGUCUGUCUGGGAUCACUUGGCUGUGCAGAAGCGUGUACUCAGGAAAGGGAAUGAGUCGCACACUGUGUACUCCUGCCAUUCCUUGCCUCUGAUGGAUGCACGAUCAUUAGGAAUGGCUUAAGUGGCAGGAAGAAGGAUUUGGGGCAGACCUUGAGGAACCGGCAGGUUUGUUUUUGCCUGGACUGGGUCAUGUCCUGUUUGGGUGUCCAAAGUUUGCUGCAGCUAAAAAAAAAAAAAAAAA